GUUAUAGGGUCAAGCGAACAAGUGCAUGUGGUGGAUGCCUUGGCGAUCACAGGCGAUGAAGGACGCGGUAGCCUGCGAAAAGCUACGGGGAGCUGGCAAACGAGCUUUGAUCCGUAGAUGUCCGAAUGGGGAAACCCACUCCUUAUGGAGUAUCCAUGGCUGAAUACAUAGGCCAUGUGAAGCGAACGCGGUGAACUGAAACAUCUAAGUAACCGCAGGAAAAGAAAUCAACCGAGAUUCCCAAAGUAGUGGCGAGCGAAAUGGGAUGAGCCUUGCACUCUUUAUUUGUAUUGUUAGCCGAACGCUCUGGAAAGUGCGGCCAUAGCAGGUGAUAGCCCUGUAGGCGAAAACAGUAUGAAAGAACUAGGUGUGCGACAAGUAGGGCGGGACACGUGAAAUCCUGUCUGAAGAUGGGGGGACCAUCCUCCAAGGCUAAAUACUCGUGAUCGACCGAUAGUGAACCAGUACCGUGAGGGAAAGGCGAAAAGAACCCCGGGAGGGGAGUGAAAUAGAUCCUGAAACCGCAUGCAUACAAACAGUCGGAGCCUCUUUAUGGGGUGACGGCGUACCUUUUGUAUAAUGGGUCAGCGACUUACGUUCAGUAGCAAGCUUAACCGUAUAGGGCAGGCGUAGCGAAAGCGAGUCCGAAUAGGGCGUUCAGUUGCUGGGCGUAGACCCGAAACCAGGUGAUCUAUCCAUGGCCAGGAUGAAGGUGCGGUAACACGUACUGGAGGUCCGAACCCACUAACGUUGAAAAGUUAGGGGAUGAGCUGUGGAUAGGGGUGAAAGGCUAAACAAACCUGGAAAUAGCUGGUUCUCUCCGAAAACUAUUUAGGUAGUGCCUCGUGUCUCACCUUCGGGGGUAGAGCACUGUCAUGGUUGGGGGGUCUAUUGCAGAUUACCCCGCCAUAGCAAACUCCGAAUACCGAAGAGUGCAAUCACGGGAGACAGACAUCGGGUGCUAACGUCCGGUGUCAAGAGGGAAACAACCCAGACCGCCAGCUAAGGUCCCCAAAUAUGGCUAAGUGGGAAACGAAGUGGGAAGGCUAAAACAGUCAGGAGGUUGGCUUAGAAGCAGCCACCCUUUAAAGAAAGCGUAAUAGCUCACUGAUCGAGUCGUCCUGCGCGGAAGAUGUAACGGGGCUAAGCCAUAUACCGAAGCUGCGGAUGCGAGCUAGUCUCGCAUGGUAGGAGAGCGUUCCGUAAGCCUGCGAAGGUGCCUUGUAAAGGGUGCUGGAGGUAUCGGAAGUGCGAAUGCUGACAUGAGUAGCGAUAAAGGGGGUGAAAGGCCCCCUCGCCGUAAGCCCAAGGUUUCCUACGCAACGUUCAUCGGCGUAGGGUGAGUCGGCCCCUAAGGCGAGGCAGAAAUGCGUAGCUGAUGGGAAGCAGGUCAAUAUUCCUGCACCGUCGUUAGAUGCGAUGGGGGGACGGAUCGCGGAAGGUUGUCCGGGUGUUGGAAGUCCCGGUCGCUGCAUUGGAGAAGGCGCUUAGGCAAAUCCGGGCGCAGGAUUCAAGGGUGUGGCGCGAGCUCCCUCGGGAGCGAAGCAAUUGGAAGUGGUUCCAAGAAAAGCCUCUAAGCUUCAGUCUAACGAUGACCGUACCGCAAACCGACACAGGUGGGCGAGAUGAGUAUUCUAAGGCGCUUGAGAGAACUCGGGAGAAGGAACUCGGCAAAUUGGUACCGUAACUUCGGGAUAAGGUACGCCCUUGUAGCUUGACCAGCCUGCGCUGGAAGGGUGAAGGGGUUGCAAUAAACUGGUGGCUGCGACUGUUUAAUAAAAACACAGCACUCUGCAAACACGAAAGUGGACGUAUAGGGUGUGACGCCUGCCCGGUGCCGGAAGAUUAAAUGAUGGGGUGCAAGCUCUUGAUUGAAGUCCCGGUAAACGGCGGCCGUAACUAUAACGGUCCUAAGGUAGCGAAAUUCCUUGUCGGGUAAGUUCCGACCUGCACGAAUGGCGUAACGAUGGCCACACUGUCUCCUCCCGAGACUCAGCGAAGUUGAAGUGUUUGUGAUGAUGCAAUCUACCCGCGGCUAGACGGAAAGACCCCAUGAACCUUUACUGUAGCUUUGCAUUGGACUUUGAACCGAUCUGUGUAGGAUAGGUGGGAGGCUAUGAAACCGGAACGCCAGUUUCGGUGGAGCCGUCCUUGAAAUACCACCCUGGUUUGUUUGAGGUUCUAACCUUGGCCCGUGAUCCGGGUCGGGGACAGUGCAUGGUAGGCAGUUUGACUGGGGCGGUCUCCUCCCAAAGCGUAACGGAGGAGUACGAAGGUACGCUAGGUACGGUCGGAAAUCGUGCUGAUAGUGCAAUGGCAUAAGCGUGCUUAACUGCGAGACCGACAAGUCGAGCAGGUGCGAAAGCAGGUCAUAGUGAUCCGGUGGUUCUGUAUGGAAGGGCCAUCGCUCAACGGAUAAAAGGUAC
RNAcentral lists this ribosomal RNA (2426 nucleotides) under Burkholderia ubonensis. RNAcentral describes it as "bacterial LSU rRNA". It matches the Rfam family "Bacterial large subunit ribosomal RNA", at positions 1 to 2466 of the family's 2925-position model. Lineage: Bacteria; Pseudomonadati; Pseudomonadota; Betaproteobacteria; Burkholderiales; Burkholderiaceae. The record is from RNAcentral.